UACGGAGGGGGCUAGCGUUUUUAGGAAUCACUGGGCGUAAAGCGCACGUAGGCGGAUUGUCAAGUCGGGGGUGAAAGCCCGGGGCUCAACCUCGGAACUGCCUCCGAUACUGACUGUCUGGAGUCCGGGAGAGGUGAGUGGAAUUCCUAGUGUAGAGGUGAAAUUCGUAGAUAUUAGGAAGAACACCAGUGGCGAAGGCGGCUCACUGGCCCGGUACUGACGCUGAGGUGCGAAAGCGUGGGGAGCAAACAGG
RNAcentral lists this ribosomal RNA (253 nucleotides) under uncultured bacterium. RNAcentral describes it as "partial 16S ribosomal RNA". It matches the Rfam family "Bacterial small subunit ribosomal RNA", at positions 524 to 776 of the family's 1533-position model. The record is from RNAcentral.